AUGGACCGGGGUCAGUUCUUUGUCAGCAUGGAGAUUUUUGAACGCUCCCUUAACUUCAAGUGGGAGGUCAUUAUUGUCUACGGCCCCGCUGACCACACCCGAUCCGCCUCCUUCCUCGAGGAGCUCCACCGGAAGGUGUCGGCUGCGUCACUGCCGGUUGUUGUGGGGGGUGACUGUAAUCUCCUUAGGUUCGCGGAGGACAAGAGCAAUGCCAACGUCAACUUUGCUCUUAUGCAAAUGUUCAACGAUUGCAUUGCUGAUCUUGGCCUCCAUGAGAUUGACCGGGUUGAUGCCAGGUUCACCUGGACCAACCGUCAGGCUGCCCCGACCCAGUCCGUCCUGGACCGGGUCCUAGUUUCUCCGGAAUGGGACCUCCGUUGCUCCCUUGCCUCCCUUCGGGCCAUCACUCGGAUGAGAAGAAAGAAAACACAUGCCAGAUCUGUUUGGCUGCUUCUAGAUGCUUCCACUCUAGUGUAG
RNAcentral lists this ribosomal RNA (477 nucleotides) under Triticum aestivum (bread wheat). RNAcentral's name for it is "partial small subunit ribosomal RNA". Lineage: Eukaryota; Viridiplantae; Streptophyta; Magnoliopsida; Poales; Poaceae. The record is from RNAcentral.